This 446-nucleotide ribosomal RNA is filed under the name uncultured bacterium. RNAcentral describes it as "bacterial SSU rRNA". It matches the Rfam family "Bacterial small subunit ribosomal RNA", at positions 329 to 792 of the family's 1533-position model. The record is from RNAcentral.
UUCCAGACUCCUACGGGAGGCAGCAGUGGGGAAUAUUGCACAAUGGGGGAAACCCUGAUGCAGCGACGCCGCGUGAGCGAUGAAGUAUUUCGGUAUGUAAAGCUCUAUCAGCAGGGAAGAAAAUGACGGUACCUGACUAAGAAGCCCCGGCUAACUACGUGCCAGCAGCCGCGGUAAUACGUAGGGGGCAAGCGUUAUCCGGAUUUACUGGGUGUAAAGGGAGCGUAGACGGUUGUGCAAGCCAGAUGUGAAAGCCCGGGGCUCAACCCCGGGACUGCAUUUGGAACUGUGUAGCUGGAGUGUCGGAGAGGCAGGCGGAAUUCCUAGUGUAGCGGUGAAAUGCGUAGAUAUUAGGAGGAACACCAGUGGCGAAGGCGGCCUGCUGGACGAUGACUGACGUUGAGGCUCGAAAGCGUGGGGAGCAAACAGGAUUAGAUACCCCAGUA